AGAAGCCCUUCAGGAUCUGUCUCUCUGAUUGUUUGUGUAGACGGGGACGUGCGCGUGCGCGUCAUUCAUGCUCUUUCGCUUUCGAAACCAUCAAGGCGCGUCAAGGAGGAGUAACCCCAGAGUGCAGUCUGGACGAUGGGGCGGGGUGACACUUCGACACGUGUCGCCCCGCCCAUAUUUUUUUUCCCCGCCUUUGACAUUUUCCUCCGAGCCAGCAGGGGGCAGUUUGCGUUGAAACAAACAGAACGGUGGCAACUACAGCAGCAGAGUAAUAACGCUAUUCCGUUGAUUGCUUGAGGUGAGUAAAAGUGGUUGUGUAAAUAUCUUAUAAUAUUAAAUGCGAUGUUCGAUCAUUUAUUUAUCCAUGGCACGUUCAAUUUGAAUAAUUAUUGUUAAUAAUUGUUAUAAAUUGCUCAUUUUAUUGUUCUUUGUGGAUUGUAACAGUACACUCUGUACAUGGCUUUAGUUCAUAGGUUCGAUUUUACAGAGGUAUGGCAUCACAUUUGUCAAGUUAUUUGAACAGACAUGCAUGAUUUUUGUGUGUAUAUUAUUAUUAUUAUUAUUAUUAUUAUUAUUAUUCAGGAUGACAUGAUCAGGAGGUGGUGGUGUUCUGUUCUCCUGGACAGCUUUACUCCGCAAAUGUAUGUAGCUGUUUGAAUGUUGCUACAUGAAACAUUACUCUGUACUAUAUCUAGCAAUAUACCUACCUCUUGACAUUUGUUCUUUUAGAGCUCAACCACUGAGGGGAGGAACUUCACCAUUCACCAUGUCUUCAGGCAGAGUCCAGCAAAGCAGCUUCCACUGGAAAUCCUCAGGGAAGUUAUUUUGUCGUUGUGGCCAACUGGAAGAAUUGUCCUCCUGUCUCCUGACCGGAACGAGUUCAGACGGAUGUACAGCAUCAGGGAAUGCUUGCAGUGCAGAGCCCUUUUCAAGUUUAACUCCCCAGGGUACAGAGAAGAGACCGGCGCAGUGAUCUUCUGGGCUUUUGUUUACACAGGAUUUUGUUCCAAGGACUGAAACACAUUUGUGUGUUAAGUUCAUUGAAGGGAAAUAGAGAAUGGGCUGAGAUCAACUGGUUUUGAUUUAUUAAUUGAUGUAAUUUAAAGUUAAACUUUGCACUGU
Molecule: long non-coding RNA, 1122 nt
Filed under: Carassius auratus (goldfish)
Lineage: Eukaryota; Metazoa; Chordata; Actinopteri; Cypriniformes; Cyprinidae
Description: lncRNA (ENSCARG00000001823.1)
Source: RNAcentral